Molecule: ribosomal RNA, 434 nt
Filed under: uncultured bacterium
Lineage: Bacteria
Description: partial 16S ribosomal RNA
Rfam family: Bacterial small subunit ribosomal RNA
Source: RNAcentral
AGCGAACGCUGGCGGCAGGCCUAACACAUGCAAGUCGAACGAACCUUUCGGGGGUAGUGGCGGACGGGGGAGUAACACGUGGGAACGUGCCUUUAGGUUCGGAAUAACUCAGGGAAACUUGUGCUAAUACCGAAUGUGCCCUUCGGGGGAAAGAUUAAUCGCCUUUAGAGCGGCCCGCGUCUGAUUAGCUAGUUGGUUGAGGUAAUGGCUCACCAAGGCGACGAUCAGUAGCUGGUCUGAGAGGAUGAUCAGCCACAUUGGGACUGAGACACGGCCCAAACUCCUACGGGAGGCAGCAGUGGGGAAUCUUGCGCAAUGGGCGAAAGCCUGACGCAGCCAUGCCGCGUGAAUGAUGAAGGUCUUAGGAUUGUAAAAUUCUUUCACCGGGGACGAUAAUGACGGUACCCGGAGAAGAAGCCCCGGCUAACUUCGUG